AAUUGGAGGGCAAGUCUGGUGCCAGCAGCCGCGGUAAUUCCAGCUCCAAUAGCGUAUAUUAAAGUUGCUGCAGUUAAAAGGCUCGUAUUUGAAUUUCGGGACCAAUAUGUCGGUCGUGCUUCGGUACGUACUGUCAUAAUUGGUUUCUCCCUUCUGAAGAACCUUGAUGUCAUUAAUUUGGUGUCUUGGGGAAUCAGGACUGUUACUUUGAAAAAAUUAGAGUGUUUAAAGCAGGCUCGCGCUUGAAUACAUUAGCAUGGAAUAAUGAAAUAGGACGUUUGAUUCUAUUUUGUUGGUUUCUAGGAUCGACGUAAUGAUUAAUAGGGAUAGUUGGGGGCAUUAGUAUUCAAUUGUCAGAGGUGAAAUUCUUGGAUUUAUUGAAGACUAACUACUGCGAAAGCAUUUGCCAAGGGAUGUUUUCAUUAAUCAAGAACGAAAGUUAGGGGAUCGAAGACGAUCAGAUACCGUCGUAGUCUUAACCAUAAACUAUGCCGACUAGGGAUCGGAUGAUGUUAAUUUUUUAAUGACUCAUUCGGCGCCUUACGGGAAACCAAAGUGU
RNAcentral lists this ribosomal RNA (559 nucleotides) under uncultured Glomus. Its description in RNAcentral is "SSU rRNA". It matches the Rfam family "Eukaryotic small subunit ribosomal RNA", at positions 546 to 1106 of the family's 1831-position model. The record is from RNAcentral. Lineage: Eukaryota; Fungi; Glomeromycota; Glomeromycetes; Glomerales; Glomeraceae.